CCCUUAGAUGUUCUGGGCCGCACGCGCGCUACACUGAUACAAGCAACAAGUACAUACCUUGGCUGAAAGGUUCCGGGUAAUCUUGUGAAAUUGUAUCGUGUUAGGGCUUGACGAUUGUAAUUUUUUGUCACAAACGAGGAAUUCCUAGUAAGCGCAAGUCACCAACUUGCAUUGAUUACGUCCCUGCCCUUUGUACACACCGCCCGUCGCACCUACCGAUUGAAUGGUCCGGUGAAAUCUCGGGACGGCGGCUUGGUCGCUUGCGUCCGACUGCUGAAACUUGAUUAAACCAUAUCAUUUAGAGGAAGGUGAAGUCGUAACA
Molecule: ribosomal RNA, 322 nt
Filed under: uncultured eukaryote
Lineage: Eukaryota
Description: partial 18S ribosomal RNA
Rfam family: Eukaryotic small subunit ribosomal RNA
Source: RNAcentral